GUGACCCCGGUCUAACNNCCNNGAUGUUCAUAACCCUUUGUUGUCCGACUCUGUUGCCUCCGGGGCGACCCUGCCUUCGGGCGGGGGCUCCGGGUGGACACUUCAAACUCUUGCGUAACUUUGCAGUCUGAGUAAACUUAAUUAAUAAAUUAAAACUUUUAACAACGGAUCUCUUGGUUCUGGCAUCGAUGAAGAACGCAGCGAAAUGCGAUAAGUAAUGUGAAUUGCAGAAUUCAGUGAAUCAUCGAAUCUUUGAACGCACAUUGCGCCCCCUGGUAUUCCGGGGGGCAUGCCUGUUCGAGCGUCAUUUCACCACUCAAGCCUCGCUUGGUAUUGGGCAACGCGGUCCGCCGCGUGCCUCAAAUCGACCGGCUGGGUCUUCUGUCCCCUAAGCGUUGUGGAAACUAUUCGCUAAAGGGUGUUCGGGAGGCUACGCCGUAAAACAACCCCAUUUCUAAGGUUGACCUCGGAUCAGGUAGGGAUACCCGCUGAACUUAAGCAUAUCA
Molecule: ribosomal RNA, 506 nt
Filed under: uncultured fungus
Lineage: Eukaryota; Fungi
Description: eukaryotic LSU rRNA
Rfam family: 5.8S ribosomal RNA (bases 154-307)
Source: RNAcentral